UAUUUUUGAUCCAUUAUGAAAGACUCAAAAAACAAGCAUAUUUUCAAAUGGCGUUCUGCACAGUCAGUGAUGUAUCUGUGCUUGAUGCCACUAUUCUUCACAAAAUGUGAUAAUAAUGUUAUCUGUUAACAUAAAAACAAAGUUUGACUCCACAGAAGCAGCUGGAAAUGGAUAACCAUAAUAUGCUUAAAUCUCUUAGGAACACACUGUUUGAUAUAUACUGCUAAAAGUUCCUCAUAUUUAGGAAUUCUUUUAAGCGAAAUACUUGUGCUGAGUCUCAGCUGGUGUGCAUGAAGGAAUAUUCGUUUCCCAGUGGUAACAUGGAAUUUGAUUUUUUAACCUUUUUAAUGUAUAUUUAAUGGAUUGAAACACUUUGAAGAAAAAAACCCCCUACAUUUCUGGUC
Non-coding RNA from Pygoscelis adeliae (Adelie penguin), 404 nucleotides. The record is from Rfam. NCBI's taxonomy places the organism in Eukaryota, Metazoa, Chordata, Aves, Sphenisciformes, Spheniscidae.